Molecule: non-coding RNA, 324 nt
Organism: Chiloscyllium plagiosum (whitespotted bambooshark)
Lineage: Eukaryota; Metazoa; Chordata; Chondrichthyes; Orectolobiformes; Hemiscylliidae
Source: RefSeq, a predicted model, not a curated record
GCAGAACUUGGGAGAAUGCAUACUGUUCCUCUGGGUGGGAAAGAUUCGAGACUUCCUUCUCCUCAAAUCCCAAUCAGCUGAUGCAGUUCCAGAAACACGGAAAACAACAGAAGAGGCUGAAGUGAAUGAUCAAGAUGAUUAUUUUCUUGGGUGUCAGCCGCCCUCUCAGCAAUUAGCAGUGGAUGUGGAUAUUCCUGAAAGCUCAGAAGUCGAACAACUUCCUCCAAUAAUUCACGGAGAACCAAUCACUGAUCGGAGGAGUACAUUUCAAGCACAUCUAGCUCCUGUAGUGACACCUAACCAGGUAGGUACUUGGGAAACUUG